RNAcentral lists this ribosomal RNA (301 nucleotides) under uncultured bacterium. RNAcentral describes it as "partial 16S ribosomal RNA". It matches the Rfam family "Bacterial small subunit ribosomal RNA", at positions 509 to 807 of the family's 1533-position model. The record is from RNAcentral.
CAGUAGCCGCGGUAAUACGUAGGUGGCAAGCGUUGUCCGGAAUUAUUGGGCGUAAAGCGUGCGCAGGCGGUUCGUUAAGACAGAUGUGAAAUCCCCGGGCUUAACCUGGGAACUGCAUUUGUGACUGGCGGGCUAGAGUAUGGCAGAGGGGGGUAGAAUUCCACGUGUAGCAGUGAAAUGCGUAGGGAUGUGGAGGAAUACCGAUGGCGAAGGCAGCCCCCUGGGCCGACACUGACACUGAGAGACGAAAGCUAGGGGAGCAAAUGGGAUUAGAUACCCCCGUAGUCCCUGUCUCUUAUAC